GAGGAAUAUUGCGCAAUGGGGGCAACCCUGACGCAGCAACGCCGCGUGAGUGAGGAAGGUUUUCGGAUUGUAAAGCUCUGUCGAGCGGAAAGAAAUGCAUUAUGGCUAAUAUCCAUAGUGCUUGACGGUACCGCUAGAGGAAGCACCGGCUAACUCCGUGCCAGCAGCCGCGGUAAUACGGGGGGUGCAAGCGUUGUUCGGAAUCAUUGGGCGUAAAGAGCGUGUAGGCGGCUUGACAAGUCAGAUGUGAAAUCCCUGGGCUUAACCCAGGAAGUGCAUUUGAAACUGUCGUGCUGGAGUAAGGGAGAGGAAAGUGGAAUUCCUGGUGUAGAGGUGAAAUUCGUAGAUAUCAGGAGGAACACCGGUGGCGAAGGCGACUUUCUGGCCCUAUACUGACGCUGAGACGCGAAAGCGUGGGUAGCAAAC
This 426-nucleotide ribosomal RNA is filed under the name uncultured bacterium. Its description in RNAcentral is "bacterial SSU rRNA". It matches the Rfam family "Bacterial small subunit ribosomal RNA", at positions 356 to 773 of the family's 1533-position model. The record is from RNAcentral.